This 235-nucleotide ribosomal RNA is filed under the name uncultured bacterium. RNAcentral's name for it is "partial 16S ribosomal RNA". It matches the Rfam family "Bacterial small subunit ribosomal RNA", at positions 96 to 334 of the family's 1533-position model. The record is from RNAcentral.
CGGCGGACGGGUGAGUAAUGCUUGGGAAUAUGCCUUAUGGUGGGGGACAACAGUUGGAAACGACUGCUAAUACCGCAUAAUGUCUACGGACCAAAGGGGGGGAUCUUCGGACCUCCCGCCAUUUGAUUAGCCCAAGUGAGAUUAGCUAGUUGGUAAGGUAAUGGCUUACCAAGGCGACGAUCUCUAGCUGGUUUGAGAGGAUGAUCAGCCACACUGGGACUGAGACACGGCCCAG